This 218-nucleotide ribosomal RNA is filed under the name uncultured bacterium. RNAcentral's name for it is "partial 16S ribosomal RNA". It matches the Rfam family "Bacterial small subunit ribosomal RNA", at positions 113 to 334 of the family's 1533-position model. The record is from RNAcentral.
UAGUCUGGGAAACUGCCUGAUGGAGGGGGAUAACUACUGGAAACGGUAGCUAAUACCGCAUAAUGUCGCAAGACCAAAGUGGGGGACCUUCGGGCCUCAUGCCAUCAGAUGUGCCCAGAUGGGAUUAGCUAGUAGGUGGGGUAAUGGCUCACCUAGGCGACGAUCCCUAGCUGGUCUGAGAGGAUGGCCAGCCACACUGGAACUGAGACACGGUCCAG